Molecule: ribosomal RNA, 254 nt
Filed under: uncultured prokaryote
Description: partial 16S ribosomal RNA
Rfam family: Bacterial small subunit ribosomal RNA
Source: RNAcentral
ACGUAGGGUGCGAGCGUUAAUCGGAAUUACUGGGCGUAAAGCGUGCGCAGGCGGUCUGUUAAGACCGAUGUGAAAUCCCCGGGCUUAACCUGGGAACUGCAUUGGUGACUGGCAGGCUUUGAGUGUGGCAGAGGGGGAUGGAAUUCCGCGUGUAGCAGUGAAAUGCGUAGAUAUGCGGAGGAACACCGAUGGCGAAGGCAAUCCCCUGGGCCUGCACUGACGCUCAUGCACGAAAGCGUGGGGAGCAAACAGGA